UACAGGGGGGGCAAGCGUUGUUCGGAAUUACUGGGCGUAAAGAGUGUGUAGGUGGUGUCGUAAGUUUGGUGUGAAAUCUCCCGGCUUAACUGGGAGGGUGCGCCGAAGACUGCGAUGCUGGAGUAUGGGAGAGGAAAGCGGAAUUCCUGGUGUAGCGGUGAAAUGCGUAGAUAUCAGGAGGAACACCUGCGGUGUAGACGGCUUUCUGGACCAUUACUGACACUGAGACACGAAAGCGUGGGUAGCAAACAGG
RNAcentral lists this ribosomal RNA (253 nucleotides) under uncultured bacterium. RNAcentral's name for it is "partial 16S ribosomal RNA". It matches the Rfam family "Bacterial small subunit ribosomal RNA", at positions 524 to 776 of the family's 1533-position model. The record is from RNAcentral.